Molecule: ribosomal RNA, 492 nt
Filed under: uncultured bacterium
Lineage: Bacteria
Description: partial 16S ribosomal RNA
Rfam family: Bacterial small subunit ribosomal RNA
Source: RNAcentral
AGGGAAAGAGGGAGGUAGGAAUAACACAUGCAAGUCGAACGGCAGCACAGUAAGAGCUUGCUCUUACGGGUGGCGAGUGGCGGACGGGUGAGGAAUACAUCGGAAUCUACUUUUUCGUGGGGGAUAACGUAGGGAAACUUACGCUAAUACCGCAUACGACCUACGGGUGAAAGCAGGGGAUCUUCGGACCUUGCGCGAUUGAAUGAGCCGAUGUCGGAUUAGCUAGUUGGCGGGGUAAAGGCCCACCAAGGCGACGAUCCGUAGCUGGUCUGAGAGGAUGAUCAGCCACACUGGAACUGAGACACGGUCCAGACUCCUACGGGAGGCAGCAGUGGGGAAUAUUGGACAAUGGGCGCAAGCCUGAUCCAGCCAUACCGCGUGGGUGAAGAAGGCCUUCGGGUUGUAAAGCCCUUUUGUUGGGAAAGAAAAGCAGCAGGUUAAUACCCCGCUGUUCUGACGGUACCCAAAGAAUAAGCACCGGCUAACUUCGUG